UACAAAUACAAGAACACUUUAUUUGAUGUUAAAAUUGAUACAGAAUCCAACAUCUCAACAACCCUCACAAUCACUGAGAUUCUUCCGUCCACUAAGACGAUUGCUUCAUUCAAAUUUCCUGACUAUAAUACUGGCAAGUUGGAAGUUCAAUAUUUCCAUGAUCAUGCAACCUUCAGCACAGCCCUUGCUUUGAACAAAUCUCCUG
RNAcentral lists this unclassified non-coding RNA (205 nucleotides) under Hevea brasiliensis (rubber tree). Lineage: Eukaryota; Viridiplantae; Streptophyta; Magnoliopsida; Malpighiales; Euphorbiaceae. The record is from RNAcentral.